RNAcentral lists this ribosomal RNA (442 nucleotides) under uncultured bacterium. RNAcentral describes it as "bacterial SSU rRNA". It matches the Rfam family "Bacterial small subunit ribosomal RNA", at positions 338 to 795 of the family's 1533-position model. The record is from RNAcentral.
CCUACGGGUUGCACCAGUGGGGAAUAUUGGACAAUGGGCGAAAGCCUGAUCCAGCAAUGCCGCGUGUGUGUGAAGAAGGUGUUCGGAUUGUAAAGCACUUUCGACGGGGACGAUGAUGACGGUACCCGUAGAAGAAGCCCCGGCUAACUUCGUGCCAGCAGCCGCGGUAAUACGAAGGGGGCUAGCGUUGCUCGGAAUGACUGGGCGUAAAGGGCGCGUAGGCGGUUUAUGCAGUCAGAUGUGAAAUCCCCGGGCUUAACCUGGGAACUGCAUUUGAGACGCAUAGACUAGAGGUCGAGAGAGGGUUGUGGAAUUCCCAGUGUAGAGGUGAAAUUCGUAGAUAUUGGGAAGAACACCGGUGGCGAAGGCGGCAACCUGGCUCGAUACUGACGCUGAGGCGCGAAAGCGUGGGGAGCAAACAGGAUUAGAUACCCCGGUAGUC